RNAcentral lists this long non-coding RNA (6008 nucleotides) under Citrus x clementina. Its description in RNAcentral is "Citrus clementina (C. clementina) long non-coding RNA (CCLE_LNC004442)". Lineage: Eukaryota; Viridiplantae; Streptophyta; Magnoliopsida; Sapindales; Rutaceae. The record is from RNAcentral.
AAUACAAGAAAAAAAUAAAAGAAAUUAUUCACAAAAAUUAAUUUUACAAAUUAAAAUAACUUACCUCCCCGGCAACGGCGCCAAAAACUUGUUGUGCAAAUUUUAUUGAACUCGCAAGUGCACGAAUCUAUUGUAGAAUAGAUUAAUGGAGACGAGUGUCGAUCCCACGAGGAGGUGGAUUUUAAUUAUAUGUAGAAUUAAUUUUGUAUGAGGGUGGUUGGAUUUGUGGUGAAAGUGACUUAGAUUAUCUUAAAAUUGGAAUUGAAAUGGCGAGAAUAAAUUGAAGAGAAAUCUAUUGAGAUGACGUACUUGAGUAUCUGGAUCCGUAUCAACAUGCAUCAUGGGCUAAAUAUUCCUUAUUAAUACCAAUUAAAUCAUGAGGGGGGAAUCCACACCUCAUGAACCACACUCUAAUCAAUAUGGUACUAAGGGCUUAUCGUGCCAAAUAAUAAUAACCUUGUACUAGAGAGCCGGUGUAACCAGGGCGGUAUCUAGACAAGAUUAGUAUUAUUUGUCGACGAGAAGUCAAAUCAUCCACAAAAAUUAGAGGGGAAGAGAAAGUAAAUUUACCAAAUAAAGCUCAUGACACAUGUUGAGACUUCACAUUCAACCCAAGCUUGAAAGAAAAUUAGCCACUCAUAAUUGAACUAGGGGCAAAAAGGGAAUUUAUUAAAAUUCAUAAAAAAUACAAGAUAGAGAAGGAAUUACAGAAAAUGGAUCCCAAAAAUGGAUUCAAAGAUAUCAAAUUAGGGGGGGAGGCCCCCUUUUUAUAGAUACAUGGAGUAAAUCAUGGCCAUCAGAUUAAAAACAGUUUGGACGCUCAGGAUUACGCCACGUCAUUAGUCAACAAUACGCGGUUUGACCACGCGGAUAAACAGUAACACAGUUUGACCCGAGUUGAACAGUGACGCAGUUUGGUUGAAAAUAAUCCUGUGCGAUGCAUGUACCGUACGCGAGAUUUUUGGUCCACUGAUAUGCUGCCACGUCACCAUCAAUAGUACAUAAAAAUUUUAGUCCAACAGGAUCGUGACACCUCAUCAGUCAAUGCCACAUCAUCGAUCAAUGCCACGUCAUCGAUCCGUCUAUGUGAACAGUGUCGUGAACAGUAACGUAGACAGUACCGUACACAUGAAUAGUACCGUACAUGUGAACAGUGCCAUUUUUCCUUUUAUGCUCCUCCUAAGGUUUUCGACCGUCCUGAGUUCAAAAGUGAUGUCCGUUUUUUUGUCUGAUCUCUCGUUUAUUAUGAAAUGACUAUGAUGUCCCUAAAAUACAUAAAAUACUUAAUUAAAAUAAAACACACGGAACUAAAUCAAAAGAAGGUUAAAUACAUAAAAGUAAGGGUGUUAGUAAAACUUAAAGUGUAAAAUGACGAUUUUCUCCUUUAUAAAUAUACAUUUUCUAACACUCAACACACCCCCCAACCAGCUUAUUGCUAGUCCUUAGCAAAUAAAGCGAAAACAAAAUUUAAAUCCAAAAUAAUAUAUAUAUAUUUUUAACACUCAUGUUUAUUCAAUUAGACUAAUGAUAGUAAUCAAAUAAAAGUAUAAGCAUUAUCUCAAUCUAAAGAAACAUCACACCCGCAUCAACCAUCCACAUGAAUCAGCCUAAUAGACUUUGUCAUAGCUACCUUCAAGAAUGACAUGUCAAACCUCAAAAUCUCACUGGAAGUAGUGACACUUUCACAAAGAAAUUAAACCCAAUAAAAAUAGUCACUCCAAUGAAUGAUAAUUGAGAGAAAAUAAAAAAAAAAAUGAUAUCACAUGCUCUCACCAAGAUGAAAGAAAUAUGUCCUUAGCUUAAAAAUAAUACGAUCUCAAGUCAAACAAGAAUGUUAGGCAACCCACUUUAUUUAUCUUUAUUUUUCCUUUUUUUUAUUAUUGUGCAUCACUACAUCUUUUUAGCCCAUAUAACUAGCUUCUACUUCAGACUAUAGUUCCCUAAAAUAAAAAAGGAUUUUUAUUAGGACGUAACGUAGGCUAGGGACAUGGUUAACAAAAAAGGGAAAUAAGGAAAAUAAAGUGUAUGUUUGAGAAAAAUGCAGAGGAAUUUUUUUUUUUUUUGGAAGUUGCAAGGUGGAUUUCGCCUAUUAUUGUUAUUUUGUUUUCUUCUUUUUUUUUGAAUUUUUUUUUGCUUAUGCUUGGCACAACGUCACUGAACAAAAUAAUUAUUUACAUUUUUCUCAAACAUAAAUAGGUGAUGGAACUUAUAAGACAUUGGGUAAUACUCCAAAUCGGAGUGGGUCAAGAUGAUAAGUUUAACAAAUAAAAGGCUUUUUUUUUAAAGGCUCAAAAUGGUUAACUAUGGAUAUUUCACAAAAGAGAUGGCUAGAAAGGCUCAAACGGAUCGAAAAUGGCCUUUCCAUCGUCUUUUAGGGCUCUAAAUAACCUUCAAUAUCUACUAGUUAGAUGGGCCUCCAAAUAUAGCAACACACAUUUUUUUUUCUUUUUUUUAAUUUUACAAUUUUUUUUAAGGGUUAACUCAAAAGAAAUCUAGAGAUCGUGUAUACAAUAAUAAACUGCUAAGUUGUAUAAAGAAUGAGCAAAACGGUUACUCUCCAAAAAAAAUAGUAGGCUCAAAAACUCACUUGGUACUUAUUAUGACAUGUUCAUUCCUUCAAGCAACUCAUAUUUGUCUCCGACGUCAACAUGUAAAGUAGCAAACAUAGUGUAACAUCACUUAAGACCAAAGAUAAUACAAAUACUAAAAUUUCAAAUUAAUCAUGUCAUCCAAUGUUAAAACAAAUCACAAAUUUUUUUUUAAACAACAUUCUACCCCCUAACCUAUUCUAAACAUGAAAGGAAAAUAUGCAUGCAGAAAUGUGAAAAUGAUGCAGAAAAAUUAAUUAGAAAAGUUACACUUAAAAUGAUAGAAAAAGAAAUUUUUUUUAUUUUUAACUAAGAAGAUGCGUUUCUAGAGGCACUACACUCUAUAUUCAGCCAUAUUCGACUCAAAUAUUUGAAAAUGUAUAUUUAUAAAGGAGAAAUUAAAAAGAAGAAGAAAAUGUCUGAAUUUUUUUUGAAUUUUUUUUAUUAUUUUGUUUUUGAAUUUUUUUUUCAAACGAUGAAAAUGCGUUUCUAGAGUCACUACACUCCAUAUUCAGCCAUUUUCAACACAAAAAGUUAGCAAUAGUUAGUUUCUACAACAAAAAAUUAGUAAAAACUUAACCAAGAUUCCACAAUUGUCGACUAUUCCCUCCCCCCAACCAGAACGAAACAUUGUCCUCAAUGUUUUAAAGGAAAGAAGUAUUGUUUAGAAGACAUCACCUGGGUGGUGCAACACAGAAGAAAAUAUUUACAAGUGGAGAGUUAAGUCUAAAUUGUACUUCUUACUGCGGCUAUUACCAUCAUUAUUUGGACGCUCCAACACAAAGGUCCAGGGGUCUGGCUCCGGUUUAUAAGCUUGUAACAGAUCAAAUAGCUCAUUAGCAGUGUGAGCACAAAUAAAAAAUUUUUUUCGCAUUGGAAAGAAUGAAAUAGUUUUUUAUUGCAUGGUUAAGAAAUGCGAUAAAGCCAUCAUAAAAGUUAUUGACAUUUAACAAACCGAUGGGUUUCUGGUGAAUGUGCAGAUGGGCCCAAGAUGCUAGUGUGAUAAGUGCCUAGCACACUAGGUUUUAGUUCAAAACUCCUAGCAGCUACAUUUGAGUAUCUUAUGCAUGAUGUGCUCAAAUUAGCUAAAGGACUGAAGUAGUCCUUAAAUGGCCUCUCCUGUGGUUGCAAAUCCAUUUUAUUUUUAACUUGUUUGUGUGUGCGAAGUGUUUUCUCAAGUUCAAGGUCUAUAGGUUCAAGAUUAGGUAAUAAUGACCUUCGACCAUGCAUGCAAAACAAAUAAAAUAAAAAUAAAGAUGGGAACAAAACAAAUAAAAAUAAAGAAGAGGGAGAAAUUACAAUGCUAACCUUAUUGCGCUGUUACAACCUUACUAUAAAAACACACUAAAAAAAAUACAUGAAAAUAAAUUAACUGAAAAUAAAUUAAUAAAAAAAAUUACAAAGAAAAAUAACUUAAAAAUUAAAUUGCAGAAUUGUAAAGAAUAGAGAAAGAAAAGAAUAGAUUAAUGGAGACGAGUGUCGAUACAACAAGGAGGUGGAUUUUAAUUAUAUGUAGAAUUAAUUUUGUAUGAGGGUGGUUGGAUUUGUGGUGAAAGUGACUUAGAUUAUCUUAAAAUUGGAAUUGAAAUGGCGAGAAUAAAUUCUAAAAUUAGAAUUGAAAUGGCGAGAAUAAAUUGAAGAGAAAUCUAUUGAGAUGACGUACUUGGGUAUCUGGAUCCGUAUCAACAUGCAUCAUGGGAUAAAUAUUCCUUAUUAAUGCCAAUUAAAUCAUGAGGGGGGAAUCCACACCUCAUGAACCACACUCUAAUCAAUAUGGUGCUAAAGGCUUAUCGUGCCAAAUAAUAAUAAUCUUGUACUAGAGAGCCGGUGUAACCAGGGCGGUAUCUAGACAAGAUUAUUACUAUUUGUUGACGAAAAGUCAAAACAUCCACCUCAAUUAGAGGGGAAGAGAAAAUAAAUUUACCAAAUAAAGCCCAUGGCACAUGUGGAGACUUCAUCUUCAACCCAAGCUUGAAAAAAAAUUAGCUACUCAUAAUUGAACUAGGAGUAAAAUGAAAAUUUAUUAAAAUACGUAGAAAAUACAAGAUGGAGAAGGAAUUACAGAAAAUGGAGUCUAAAAGAUGGAUUCAGGGAUGCCAAAUUAAGGGGGAAGAGCCUCCCUUUUAUAGAUACAUAGAGUAAAUCAUGGCCAUCGGAUUAAAAAUAUUUCGGACGCUCAAGAUUACGCCACGUCAUCAGUCAACAGUACGCGGUUUGACCACGCGGAUGAACAGUAACACGGUUUGACCCGGGUUGAAUAGUGACGCGGUUUGGUUGAAAAUAAUCUUAUGUGAUGCAUGUACUGUACGCGAGAUUUUUGAUCCACUAAUAUGAUGCCACGUCACCAUCAACAGUACAUAAGAAUUUUAGUCCAACAGGAUCGUGACACCUUAUCAGUCAAUGCCAUAUCAUCGGUCAAUGCCACAUCAUCGGUCAAUGCCACAUCAUCGAUCCGUCUAUGUGAACAGUGUCGUGAACAGUGUCGUGAACAGUACCGUACACGUGAAUAGUACCGUAUAUGUGAACAGUGCCAUUUUUCCUUUUAUGCUCCUCCUAAGGUUUUCGACCGUUCUGAGUUCAAAAGUGAUGUCCGUUUUGCCGUCUGAUCUCUCGUUUAUUGUGAAAUGACUAUGAUGCCCCUAAAAUACAUAAAAUACUUAAUUAAAAUAAAACACACGGAAUUAAAUCAAAAGAAGGUUAAAUACAUAAAAGUAAGGGUGUUAGUAAAAAUUGAAAUGUAAAAUGACAAUUUUCUCCUUUAUAAAUAUAUAUUUUCUAACACUCAACAAGAAACAGUCAAUUUCAUUAAGUGAGUUUAAUCACUCAAUUACUCUUUUCCCAAUGAGUUUGCCUUUGUGUUUGAUUUAAGAAAUUUCCUUAUUGCAUUUUAUUUGUUGCAUUUUUAAUUAGAUUCGUGCGCAUAUGAGUAUAAUAAAAUUUGCACAGUAGAAAAAAAUCACAACAAUUGUUAUUAGAGCAUGGUUUGAGAAUUUAUGAUUUUUUUAUUAAUAUUUGUAAUAACCCUCUUUUAAUUUUCAAUUGUCCUUAUGGGCAUAUGCAAUUUGGAUUAUUAUUCCGCAUAUAAAUAAGGUUGAAAGAAAAUUAUUGGUACAAGAAUUUCUUCUAUAUAUUAUUUUGUUACAAAAUAGCAAAAAAGAAGGGGGGCAGCCCAAGAUGGGUUUUGGUUGUUGGCUGCGCAAUACCUAAAGAUGAAACUAGGGUUUCUUUUAGAUUUUUUCAUGAGGCACCCUAAGGUUUCUUUGAUUUAUGUUUCUGACCAAAGUUUAGAAUUUUGUUGCAUCUAAGUCCGACAAAAUUUGUUGGUGGCCAAAGGAAAAUAUGUGAUUUAGAUAUUAAGAGUGACUUUUCCAUAAAGAUAAUUAAUGUCCCUUAAGGUAUUAUAAAAUCUGAAAUUUGGUA